UCUGUAUUUUACACACUCUCUCACCGGUCAGAGAGGCGAGAGAGUGUGCAAAAUGAAGAGA
Molecule: microRNA precursor, 61 nt
Filed under: Pristionchus pacificus
Lineage: Eukaryota; Metazoa; Nematoda; Chromadorea; Rhabditida; Neodiplogasteridae
Description: mir-8364 microRNA precursor family
Rfam family: mir-8364 microRNA precursor family
Source: Rfam by way of RNAcentral